UCUUCUACUUUUCGUUGAUGCUUUAGCGCGUUCGAAGCUCCAGCGGGAUCCUGAAGGACACUGAACGUGCUCAGAAUGAGCCAACAUAGAAGCAACCGCAUUUGCUGUGUGCCGCAAUGCAAAAAUUAUGCGGUAGGUGAUGUGAGUCUACACUCGUUCCCAACGGCUGUGUCCAUGAGGAAGAAAUGGAUUAUUAAGCUGCGGAUCGGUAAAGCAGUUACCGAAGCGAUGAAGGUUUGCAGCGCGCACUUCACGCCGGAGGACUUUUUUUUGGAAUACGACAGGCCCAGCUGUUUGAACACCACGUCGGAAGCGCAAAACAAGACAGCAAUUCCAUCUAGGUGCCUUCCUGUCUGGGUGUUUGACGCUGUGGAUGAAGCUUCGAAGCAAGCAUCCCAUGAAAGAUCUUUGCGGGCAUCAGCAAGAUCAUGGGCAUCUGUGUGCAGAACCGAAAAUGGGCCGUCAAAUGUGCCUUUGGGGUCAUGUACAGCACAACAGCCGAACAUCGAAAGUUCGGAAAAUGUACCAACAGAGCUUGAAAGCAACCCAGUCACCGAGCUUGACCAAGGCGCCGCUAUAGCACUGCAUUGGAUGCACUCCUUGCCCUCAGUGAUAGGCGUUGUCGGUGUGUUGACAUUGGCAUUCAAGUCUGCACCGAUUCAUCACCAGCCAGAAGGAACACAUUGGUUGACUUUCUCUCGACAGAUGCUGCCAUAAAAGCCUUCACAGGUGUAG
Molecule: long non-coding RNA, 735 nt
Organism: Dermacentor albipictus
Lineage: Eukaryota; Metazoa; Arthropoda; Arachnida; Ixodida; Ixodidae
Source: RefSeq, a predicted model, not a curated record